UACGUAGGGGGCGAGCGUUGUCCGGAUUUAUUGGGCGUAAAGCGCGCGUAGGCGGCCCGGUAAGUCCGCUGUGAAAGUCAAAGGCUCAACCUUUGAAUGUCAGCGGAUACUGCCGGGCUAGAGUCCGGAAGAGGCGAGUGGAAUUCCUGGUGUAGCGGUGGAAUGCGCAGAUAUCAGGAGGAACACCAACGGCGAAGGCAGCUCGCUGGGACGGUACUGACGCUGAGGCGCGAAAGCGUGGGGAGCGAACAGG
Molecule: ribosomal RNA, 253 nt
Filed under: uncultured bacterium
Lineage: Bacteria
Description: partial 16S ribosomal RNA
Rfam family: Bacterial small subunit ribosomal RNA
Source: RNAcentral